UCAGGAUGAACGCUGGCGGCGUGCUUAACACAUGCAAGUCGAACGAUGAAGCCCAGCUUGCUGGGUGGAUUAGUGGCGAACGGGUGAGUAACACGUGAGUAACCUGCCCUUAACUCUGGGAUAAGCCUGGGAAACUGGGUCUAAUACCGGAUAGGAGCGCCGACCGCAUGGUGGGUGUUGGAAAGAUUUAUCGGUUUUGGAUGGACUCGCGGCCUAUCAGCUUGUUGGUGAGGUAAUGGCUCACCAAGGCGACGACGGGUAGCCGGCCUGAGAGGGUGACCGGCCACACUGGGACUGAGACACGGCCCAGACUCCUACGGGAGGCAGCAGUGGGGAAUAUUGCACAAUGGGCGCAAGCCUGAUGCAGCGACGCCGCGUGAGGGAUGACGGCCUUCGGGUUGUAAACCUCUUUCAGUAGGGAAGAAGCGAAAGUGACGGUACCUGCAGAAGAAGCACCGGCUAACUACGUGCCAGCAGCCGCGGUAAUACGUAGGGUGCGAGCGUUAUCCGGAAUUAUUGGGCGUAAAGAGCUCGUAGGCGGUUUGUCGCGUCUGUCGUGAAAGUCCGGGGCUUAACCCCGGAUCUGCGGUGGGUACGGGCAGACUAGAGUGCAGUAGGGGAGACUGGAAUUCCUGGUGUAGCGGUGGAAUGCGCAGAUAUCAGGAGGAACACCGAUGGCGAAGGCAGGUCUCUGGGCUGUAACUGACGCUGAGGAGCGAAAGCAUGGGGAGCGAACAGGAUUAGAUACCCUGGUAGUCCAUGCCGUAAACGUUGGGCACUAGGUGUGGGGACCAUUCCACGGUUUCCGCGCCGCAGCUAACGCAUUAAGUGCCCCGCCUGGGGAGUACGGCCGCAAGGCUAAAACUCAAAGGAAUUGACGGGGGCCCGCACAAGCGGCGGAGCAUGCGGAUUAAUUCGAUGCAACGCGAAGAACCUUACCAAGGCUUGACAUGUUCUCGAUCGCCGUAGAGAUACGGUUUCCCCUUUGGGGCGGGUUCAC
Molecule: ribosomal RNA, 1000 nt
Filed under: Micrococcus sp.
Lineage: Bacteria; Bacillati; Actinomycetota; Actinomycetes; Micrococcales; Micrococcaceae
Description: bacterial SSU rRNA
Rfam family: Bacterial small subunit ribosomal RNA
Source: RNAcentral